Chelonoidis abingdonii (Abingdon island giant tortoise) is the source of this 100-nucleotide non-coding RNA. The record is from RefSeq and is a predicted model, not a curated record. Lineage: Eukaryota; Metazoa; Chordata; Testudines; Testudinidae.
CCACCAACUCUUGGGGUUUGUCUGCGCUGUUUCGUUUGCAGUUCAUCCUGACUGAGUGAUCUCAGCUGGCUCCCACAGGCAGCAUUAUCACAGGGGGGUG